Molecule: long non-coding RNA, 166 nt
Organism: Lemur catta (Ring-tailed lemur)
Lineage: Eukaryota; Metazoa; Chordata; Mammalia; Primates; Lemuridae
Exons: 3
Source: RefSeq, a predicted model, not a curated record
AACCAAUUGGCUUCCGUUUUAGGAACCUUCGCACCAAUCCUAGCCCACAGUUAGACAUCUCCAGUGAGACAUCUUCAAAAUCCACAUUUCGCACCAGUGCCGGUCCCUGGCAUCACAAUAAGACGCUCUCAACCUGAUGGUGAGCAGCUGACACCUUCUAUCCUGC